RNAcentral lists this ribosomal RNA (237 nucleotides) under Tenuibacillus multivorans. Its description in RNAcentral is "partial 16S rRNA. Bacterial SSU". It matches the Rfam family "Bacterial small subunit ribosomal RNA", at positions 1 to 218 of the family's 1533-position model. Lineage: Bacteria; Bacillati; Bacillota; Bacilli; Caryophanales; Bacillaceae. The record is from RNAcentral.
CUUUUAUGGAGAGUUUGAUCCUGGCUCAGGACGAACGCUGGCGGCGUGCCUAAUACAUGCAAGUCGAGCGCGGGAAGCAGACAGAAUCCUUCGGGAGGACGUCUGUGGAACGAGCGGCGGACGGGUGAGUAACACGUGGGCAACCUGCCUGUAAGACUGGGAUAACUCCGGGAAACCGGGGCUAAUACCGGAUAAUUCAUCGAAUCGCAUGAUUCGAUGUUGAAAGGUGGCAUAUGC